RNAcentral lists this ribosomal RNA (245 nucleotides) under uncultured bacterium. Its description in RNAcentral is "partial small subunit ribosomal RNA". It matches the Rfam family "Bacterial small subunit ribosomal RNA", at positions 26 to 285 of the family's 1533-position model. The record is from RNAcentral.
AGAAUCAACGCUGGCGGCGUGCCUAACACAUGCAAGUCGCACGAGAAAGGGUAGCAAUACCUGAGUACAGUGGCGCACGGGUGAGUAACACGUGAAUAAUCUACCUCCGAGUGGGGAAUAACUGAGAGAAAUCUUAGCUAAUACCGCAUAAUACCCACGGGUCAAAGCAGCAAUGCGCUUGGAGAGGAGUUCGCGGCCGAUUAGCUAGUUGGCGGGGUAAUGGCCCACCAAGGCGAUGAUCGGUA